RNAcentral lists this ribosomal RNA (407 nucleotides) under Cuapetes anacanthus. RNAcentral's name for it is "partial 12S ribosomal RNA". The record is from RNAcentral. Lineage: Eukaryota; Metazoa; Arthropoda; Malacostraca; Decapoda; Palaemonidae.
UUUUAAACUAGGAUUAGAUACCCUAUUAUUCCAUUUUUAGAAAACAUCACUUGGGUACUAAAAAGUUAUGAACUUCAAAUCCAAAGAAUUUGGCGGUAUCUCAGAGUUUUUAGAGGAACCUGUCCUAUAAACGAUAAACCACGCAGUAUCUUACUUUAUUUUGCAAUUUCAGUUUGUAUAUCGCCAUGUUAGAUUCUACUUUAAAGUACAUUUCUAGAUAGAGUAUUAACUACUAAUGACAUUAGGUCAAGAUGCAGCCAACAAUAAAGAAAGCGAUGGGUUACAAUAUAAUGUAUAUAUAACGAAGAUAAACAUGAAGUUUUUAUUGAAGGUGGAUUUAAUAGUAUAACAAGAUUUAAUAAGCUUAUUUGAACAUGAUCUGGAGUGCGUACACAUCGCCCGCUCUU